UACAGAGGGUGCGAGCGUUGUCCGGAAUCACUGGGCGUAAAGGGCGCGUAGGCGGCUCAGUAAGGUUGCGGUGAAAGCCCGGGGCUCAACCCCGGGUCGGCCGUGGCAACUGCUGGGCUGGAGUACUGUAGAGGCAGGUGGAAUUCCGGGUGUAGCGGUGGAAUGCGUAGAGAUCCGGAAGAACACCGGUGGCGAAGGCGGCCUGCUGGGCAGUAGCUGAUGCUGAGGAACGAAAGCCAGGGGAGCAAACGGG
Molecule: ribosomal RNA, 253 nt
Filed under: uncultured bacterium
Lineage: Bacteria
Description: partial 16S ribosomal RNA
Rfam family: Bacterial small subunit ribosomal RNA
Source: RNAcentral